UGAAGGAUGAGGAGCAUUUAGGUAAGCAGAGGGCCCAGGGCAGCAUUACUGUAGCUUGACCUAUGUCUUUUCUUCUCUCCAGGAAAAUAUAGUGCUAUACCAAAAGGGCCAAGUCUCUGUUAAAGUCAUUGACUUUGGAUCAAGCUGUUAUGAACACCAGAAAGUAUACACGUACAUCCAAAGCCGGUUCUACCGAUCCCCAGAAGUGAUCCUGGGCCACCCCUACGACAUGGCCAUUGACAUGUGGAGCCUGGGGUGCAUCAUGGCAGAGUUGUACACGGGCUACCCCCUGUUUCCUGGGGAGAAUGAGGUGGAGCAGCUGGCCUGCAUCAUGGAGGUGCUGGGUCUGCCACCAGCUGGCUUCAUUCAGAUGGCCUCCAGGAGACAGACAUUCUUUGGU
This 400-nucleotide small RNA is filed under the name Pongo abelii (Sumatran orangutan). Its description in RNAcentral is "retained intron". Lineage: Eukaryota; Metazoa; Chordata; Mammalia; Primates; Hominidae. The record is from RNAcentral.